RNAcentral lists this ribosomal RNA (433 nucleotides) under uncultured bacterium. RNAcentral describes it as "partial 16S ribosomal RNA". It matches the Rfam family "Bacterial small subunit ribosomal RNA", at positions 29 to 507 of the family's 1533-position model. The record is from RNAcentral.
AACGAACGCUGGCGGCAUGCCUAACACAUGCAAGUCGAACGAGACCUUCGGGUCUAGUGGCGCACGGGUGCGUAACGCGUGGGAACCUGCCCUUAGGUUCGGUAUAACUCCCCGAAAGGGGUGCUAAUACCGGAUAAUGUCUUCGGACCAAAGAUUUAUUGCCUUUGGAUGGGCCCGCGUUGGAUUAGCUGGUUGGUAGGGUAAAAGCCUCCCAAGGCGACGAUCCAUAGCUGGUGUGAGAGGAUGAUCAGCCACACUGGGACUGAGACACGGCCCAGACUCCUACGGAAGGCAGCAGUGGGGAAUAUUGGACAAUGGGCGCAGGCCUGACAAAGCAAUGUCGGGUGAGUGAUGAAGCCCGUAGGGUUGUAAAGUUCUUUUACCCGGGAUGAUAAUGACAGUACCGGGAGAAUAAGCUCCGGCUAACUACGUG